RNAcentral lists this long non-coding RNA (5002 nucleotides) under Gossypium barbadense (sea-island cotton). RNAcentral's name for it is "long non-coding RNA (GBAR_LNC021475)". Lineage: Eukaryota; Viridiplantae; Streptophyta; Magnoliopsida; Malvales; Malvaceae. The record is from RNAcentral.
UUAGAAAUCAAACCCACUCCAAGCAUAAUCUAGAAGCAUGAGACGUGGAGCAAUUUUGUGCCAUGCAAAGUGCUGAAAUUUUAGCCAUACAAAGUGUUCCAUUAUUGAGAUGUUUUGUGGCUGGAAAUUAAGUGGAUUAAUAGCCACAUUUGUUGUCACUUUAUCAGCCUAUAAAUAGAGGCUUGAACUUGUGUUGUAAUGAAGUAAAAAUGAGAAGAAAAAAGAAAUAAGAGAAGCAACGUGAGUGAGAGUGAGAAGGUUAGCAAACCUUGAGUGAGUUAAAAUCUAGCAGCAGCUAGACUAUCUAGUCAUUGAGAAAAUAUUUGUAAUCUUCGUAUUGUAAUAUAUUGAGUGUGUAAUAAAAAGUAAAUUUUCGGCCCAUCACGUUUCCAACAAGUGGCAUCAGAGCUACGGUUCGGAGCUUGGUUCGGAGUUCGGUUCGUGUCCGGUUCGUGUCCAGUUCGGAGUACCUUUGGUGUUCAUCUAACAAGUCGAUAUGGGCGACGUAAUUCAGCUACAAGUUCCACAAUUGACGAAGACAAAUUAUGGAAAUUGGAGCAUUCGAAUGAAGGCUUUGCUCGGUUCGCAAGAUUGUUGGGAGAUCGUUGAAAAAGGAUACAUCGAGCCCGGAGAUGCCGCUACAGAAGCAGCUUUAUCAAAUGACGCUAAGAAGGCGUUACGAGAAGCACGAAAGAAGGAUCAAAAGGCCUUGAAUAGUAUCUUUCAAGGUAUGGAUGAAUCAACCUUCGAGAAAAUAUCAGAUGUGAAGAACGCGAAGAAUGCAUGGGAGAUUUUGCAAAAAUCAUUUCAAGGUGUAGAAAAAGCUAAAAAGGUACGCCUUCAGUCACUUAGAGCUGAAUUUGAAAUGUUAAAAAUGAAGAGCUCCGAGAAUAUCGAUGACUAUGCCAAUCGUGUAAAAUCGAUGGUAAAUGAAAUGAAACGAAAUGGAGAAACUCUUGACGAGGUAAGAGUGAUGGAGAAAAUUCUACGGUCACUCACACGCAAAUUCGAGUACGUAGUCGUUGCCAUCGAAGAAUCAAAAGAUUUGUCAAAGAUGUCGCUCGAAGAACUUGUGGGUUCUCUGCAAGCCCAUGAGCAAAAGAUGAAGCUAAAUGAAGAUAGUGAAAAUCUUGAUCAAGCCUUGCAUAGCAAGUUGUCCGUCGACGACGGAGAAACAAGUAAUAACUUUAACCAAGGAAGAGGAAACCGCAGAGGAUACCGUGGAGGCUACCGUGGUGGAAACAGAGGAGGAAGAGGAUCACGAGGACGUGGAAAUCAAUCAUAUGGGAGAUAUCAAGAAAAUAAAGAUUAUCAAACAUCCAACCGUGGACGUGGAUCUAGAGGUCGUGGCCGAGGCAGAUUUCAAGAAAAUAAAUCUCAGGUACAAUGCUACAACUGUAACAAGUAUGGACAUUUCAGUUACGAGUGCAGAUCAACACACAAAGUGGAUGAAAGAAACCAUGUAGCAGUCGCAGCAGAAGGCAACGAAAAAGUGGAAUCAAGUGUCUUUCUCACUUACGGAGAAAAUGAAGAUCGCAAGAGAAGUGUGUGGUAUCUCGACAACGGUGCAAGCAACCACAUGUGUGGAAGAAAGGAGCUGUUCACAGAAUUAGAUGAAACAGUUCAUGGACAAAUAACUUUUGGAGACAACUCACAUGCAGAAAUCAAAGGAAAGGACAAGGUUGUUAUAACACAAAGGAAUGAAGAGAAGAAGUACAUCUCAGACGUUUACUACGUACCAGCUUUGAAGAGCAACCUGAUCAGUCUUGGUCAACUCCUAGAAAAAGGAUAUGAAGUUCAUAUGAAAGACCGCUCACUCGCCAUCAGGAACAAAAGUGGAGAAUUAGUUGUUCGAGUUGAUAUGACGCGAAAUCGUCUUUUCACCCUCGACAUCGAGUCUGGAGAAGUAAAAUGCAUGAAGACGGAUCUGAAGAAUGAAUCAUGGUUGUGGCACUUAAGGUACGGACAUCUCGGAUUUUCUGGCUUGAAGCUGUUGUCGAAGACAAAUAUGGUGAAUGGAUUACCAAGUAUUAAUCAUCCAGAUAAACUGUGUGAAGCCUGUGUCAAAGGAAAGCAGCAUAGGCAGAAAUUUGAAGUAGGAAAAUCUCGAAGAGCUAGAAGACCAUUGGAAAUUGUACACACCGACAUAUCUGGUCCGUACGACAUUGAAUCACUCGGUGGAAACAGGUACUACCUAACUUUUAUUGAUGAUUAUAGCAGAAAAUGUUGGGUUUAUUUUCUCAAAGCAAAAUCGGAAGCCCUAGAAAAAUUCAAGGAGUUCAAAGCAAUGGUGGAAAAACAGAGUGGUCGAUAUUUGAAGAUACUCAGAUCCGAUAGAGGAGGCGAGUAUACUGCAAAGCUUUAUGAAAGUUUCUGCAAGGAUCAUGGAAUCAUUCAUCAGUUAACAGCCAGACGCACUCCACAACAAAACGGAGUUGCAGAAAGGAAGAAUCGGACAAUUCUGGAUAUGGCAAGAAGCAUGAUAAAAGGUAAACACCUUCCGAGAACUUUCUGGGCUGAAGCCGUUGAAUGCGCAGUUUAUCUGUUGAAUCAAUGUCCAACAAAAAGUGUAAGACACAAGACACCAGAAGAAGCAUGGAGCGAUCACAAGCCAAGAGUUGGACACCUCAAAAUUUUUGGAUGCAUUGCAUAUGCACACGUUCCUGAGCAACAGAGGAAAAAGCUUGACGAUAGAGGAGAGAAGUGUAUCUUUAUAGGCUAUGACAAAAGAAGUAAGGCCUACAGACUUUAUAAUCCUCUUACUAAGAAAUUGAUUAUCUCAAGAGAUGUCGAGUUCGAUGAAGCGGAUUACUGGAGAUGGAGUGAAGAAGAAAAGAAAGUGGAAGGAUUAUUUUUCAAAGACGAUAAUGAUGUCAUCAACCAAGAAGAACAAGGCGAUGAUCAAAGUCCUGGUACAACAGCCCCUUCGUCACCAACCAGCAGCAGCGGAAGCAGCAGCUCAGAUGAAGCACCCACAAGAACACGGAGUCUCAACGACAUCUACAAUUCUACGGAACCUGUAGAGACGCAGUUCGAUUAUUCACUAUUCUGUCUAAUGACAGAAUGUGAUCCAGUGACAUACGAAGAAGCAAUUGAAGACAAUAAAUGGAAGAAGGCCAUGGACGAGGAGAUUGCUGCAAUAAGAAGGAAUGACACGUGGGAGCUAACAAGUCUGCCAGAAGGACAUAGCCCGAUUGGUGUCAAGUGGGUGUACAAGACGAAGACCAACAAAGAAGGAAAAGUAGAGAAAUACAAGGCAAGACUAGUCGCCAAAGGCUACAAGCAAAGACAAGGAGUGGACUAUGAUGAAAUAUUUGCUCCAGUCGCAAGAAUAGACACAAUUAGGCUUCUCAUAGCGGUCGCAGCACAAUACAAAUGGAAAAUCUAUCAGAUGGACGUCAAGUCUGCAUUCCUGAAUGGCUACUUGGAGGAGGAAGUCUACAUAGAACAACCACCUGGAUAUAGCAUACAAGGAAAGGAGGACAAAGUCUACCGAUUGAAGAAAGCUUUGUAUGGAUUGAAGCAAGCCCCAAGAGCAUGGAACACAAGGAUCGACGAGUACUUCCGAAGAAAUGGAUUCAUCAAAAGCCCGCACGAGCACACCCUGUACACAAAGAAGAAUGGAUAUAGAGAUAUCAUGAUCGUAUGCCUAUAUGUGGAUGACAUGAUCUUCACCGGAAACAAUCCAGGUAUGUCUAAUGAUUUCAAGAAAGCUAUGACUAAAGAAUUUGAAAUGACAGAUAUCGGUGAGAUGUCAUACUUUCUUGGAGUCGAGGUGAAACAAAUGCAAGAUGGAAUUUUUGUCUCUCAAAAGAAGUAUGCGGAGCAGAUUUUGAACAAGUUCAAAAUGAAGGAUUGCAAGCCAGUAGUCACGCCAGCUGAUCCAGGGAUGAAGCUAAGUGUUGAUUCGACAAGGGAGUCGAUAAAUCCGACGUUGUUUAAAAGUCUCGUUGGAAGUUUAAGGUAUUUGACAAUCACACGACCAGAUAUUACAUAUGCAGUAGGAUUGGUGAGCAGAUUCAUGGAGAAGCCGAAGCAAGACCACUUAAUUGCCGCAAAAAGAAUUUUGAGAUAUAUCAAAGGUACGAUGAACCAUGGUUUAUUCUAUACCCACUCACAAGAUUCAAAAUUAGUUGGCUACUCAGAUAGCGAUUAUGGGGGAGACUUGGAUGAUCGGAAAAGCACUUCCGGAUAUGCAUUCCACAUCAGUUCCGCAGUUUUUUCAUGGUCGUCAAAGAAGCAACAAACAAUUGCUCUCUCAACAUGUGAAGCAGAGUAUAUGGCCGCAGCAACUUGUACAUGCCAAGCAAUGUGGUUGAAGAAUAUUUUGGGAGAAAUAGGUGUUUCAAAUGAAGGUCCAAUUACCAUCUACGUUGACAACAAAUCCGCUAUAUCACUUGCCAAGAAUUCGGUGUCGCACAGCCGAAGCAAGCACAUCGAUACGAAGUAUCAUUUUAUCCGAGAGCAAGUGAAAAACAAAAACGUGGAGUUGGUCCAUUGCAGGACAGAAGAUCAACUGGCAGAUAUUUUCACAAAGCCGUUGAAAGUGGAGACAUUCAACAAAUUCAAAGAGAAGCUCGGUAUGAAAGUUGGGUUUGAGUGGGAGUGUUAGAAAUCAAACCCACUCCAAGCAUAAUCUAGAAGCAUGAGACGUGGAGCAAUUUUGUGCCAUGCAAAGUGCUGAAAUUUUAGCCAUACAAAGUGUUCCAUUAUUGAGAUGUUUUGUGGCUGGAAAUUAAGUGGAUUAAUAGCCACAUUUGUUGUCACUUUAUCAGCCUAUAAAUAGAGGCUUGAACUUGUGUUGUAAUGAAGUAAAAAUGAGAAGAAAAAAGAAAUAAGAGAAGCAACGUGAGUGAGAGUGAGAAGGUUAGCAAACCUUGAGUGAGUUAAAAUCUAGCAGCAGCUAGACUAUCUAGUCAUUGAGAAAAUAUUUGUAAUCUUCGUAUUGUAAUAUAUUGAGUGUGUAAUAAAAAGUAAAUUUUCGGCCCAUCACGUUUCCAAC